This 485-nucleotide ribosomal RNA is filed under the name uncultured bacterium. RNAcentral's name for it is "partial 16S ribosomal RNA". It matches the Rfam family "Bacterial small subunit ribosomal RNA", at positions 28 to 523 of the family's 1533-position model. The record is from RNAcentral.
GAUGAACGCUAGCGGCAGGCCUAAUACAUGCAAGUCGAACGGUGUAGCAAUACACAGUGGCGCACGGGUGCGUAACACGUAUGCAACCUACCUUACAUUGGGGGAUAGCCUUUCGAAAGGGAGAUUAAUACCGCAUAAGACAGUAACUAGGCAUCUAGUAGCUGUUAAAGAUUUAUCGAUGUAAGCUGGGCAUGCGUCCAAUUAGUUAGUUGGCGAGGUAAUGGCUCACCAAGACGAUGAUUGGUAGGGGAACUGAGAGGUCAAUCCCCCACACUGGCACUGAGAUACGGGCCAGACUCCUACGGGAGGCAGCAGUAGGGAAUAUUGGGCAAUGGGCGCAAGCCUGACCCAGCCAUGCCGCGUGCAGGAAGAAGGCGUUAUGCGUUGUAAACUGCUUUUAUACAGGAAGAAACGACCCUUGCGAGGGGCAUUGACGGUACUGUAUGAAUAAGCACCGGCUAACUCCGUGCCAGCCGCCGCGGUAA